This 75-nucleotide transfer RNA is filed under the name bacterium. Its description in RNAcentral is "tRNA-Met". It matches the Rfam family "tRNA". Rfam says of the family: Transfer RNA (tRNA) molecules are approximately 80 nucleotides in length. Their secondary structure includes four short double-helical elements and three loops (D, anti-codon, and T loops). RNAcentral also lists the same sequence under 1 other name. The record is from RNAcentral.
UGCGGGGUGUAGCAGUGGAAGCUAGUCUGCCUCAUAAGUAGAAGGUCGUGGGUUCGAGUCCCACCCCCGCAACCA